GUCUGUACUCCAUAAAACUCGCUAUAAGUAAUGGUAUUUCAUCAGGAACUCUUAUGGAACAUACAGUGCUUGCUUUAUGGAGACGGUUAAAGGCAGCAGGUCUGCAGGCAACAAGAAGGACCUACUGAGGUCAUUUGAAGGUCAUCUUUACUCAGGAAAUCCUGAAGGACAAUGUGAGGCCAUGAGAUUAAGGCAUGAGGACUUCGCUAUGCACUAGGAGAUGAUCAGCUUUGAAGCUGGAGCUCCAUUCAUUCUGUUUGGCUGCGAUUCCUUCCUGGAGGACGACAUCGGCUGAGAAAAAAAAAAAAAAACGUUCUC
Molecule: long non-coding RNA, 318 nt
Organism: Xiphophorus maculatus (southern platyfish)
Lineage: Eukaryota; Metazoa; Chordata; Actinopteri; Cyprinodontiformes; Poeciliidae
Exons: 4
Source: RefSeq, a predicted model, not a curated record